UGGCCUUUUCAUUUUCGUUUCAAUUCUCAGAAAUUGGCAUCGGUUUUCUCUCUGAGUUAUGAUAAUAAGGCAAAAGAUCACAUUUUUUUGGGUACCCAUUUGAGAAUAAAUAUGAUGAAGCAAAAAUCAAUGUCGGCGCCGCCGUGGUUGGAGCCAUUGUUGAACACGGCGUUCUUCUCAAUCUGCCACACGCACGGCGAAUCCGCUAGGAGUGAGCGGAAUAUGUACUGUCUUGAUUGCCACUGCGACGCAUUUUGCUUCUAUUGCCGCUCAUCUCACCACAAGGAUCAUCAAGUAAUUCAGAUAAGGAGAUCUUCGUAUCAUGAUGUAGUAAGAGUGGCAGAUAUCGAAGAAGCUUUGGAUAUAAGUGGCGUUCAAACUUAUGUGAUUAAUAGCGCUAGAGUCAUGUUCUUGAACGAGAGGCCUCAACCCAAAGCUGGUAAAGGAGGAGCACAUAUUUGUGAAAUUUGUGGGAGAAGCUUAUUGGAUCCAUUUCGAUUCUGUUCACUCGGCUGUAAGCUUGUAGGGAUGAACAGAAAUGGGGAUGCCAGCUUUAGCUUGGAGACGAAGAAAGAAGCAAUGGUAAUGGAAAGAAGAGAAGGAAUUUCAUCAAGGAGAAGAAAAGGCAUUCCUCAUAGGGCACCUUUUGGGUCCUAAUUAUUGCCUUCCAAACCAAUUCUUUGAAGCCUUUAAUCAUUUUACAUGCCAUAAUUUGGGGUCAUUGUCCAUAAAAGGUCCCAUAUACAACAAAUUCUAUCUUGAGGAUGUGAAGAACCAAUAAUGGAGGAAUUGUUAUGUUGAUAAUUGCAAGGUGUAUAUUUGUUUAUUGAGAAAUUAAAAUUU
Molecule: RNA transcript, 843 nt
Organism: Cucurbita moschata (crookneck pumpkin)
Lineage: Eukaryota; Viridiplantae; Streptophyta; Magnoliopsida; Cucurbitales; Cucurbitaceae
Exons: 5
Source: RefSeq, a predicted model, not a curated record